GUAGGUGGCAAGCGUUGUCCGGAAUUAUUGGGCGUAAAGCGCGCGCAGGCGGUCCUUUAAGUCUGAUGUGAAAGCCCACGGCUCAACCGUGGAGGGUCAUUGGAAACUGGGGGACUUGAGUACAGAAGAGGAAAGCGGAAUUCCAAGUGUAGCGGUGAAAUGCGUAGAGAUUUGGAGGAACACCAGUGGCGAAGGCGGCUUUUCUGGUCUGUAACUGACGCUGAGGCGCGAAAGCGUGGGGUAGCAAACAGGGAUUAGAUACCCUGGUAGUCCACGCCGUAAACGAUGAGUGCUAAGUGUUAGGGGGUUUCCCGCCCCUUAGUGCUGCAGCUAACGCAUUAAGCACUCCGCCUGGGGAGUACGGCCGCAAGGCUG
RNAcentral lists this ribosomal RNA (375 nucleotides) under uncultured organism. RNAcentral describes it as "partial 16S ribosomal RNA". It matches the Rfam family "Bacterial small subunit ribosomal RNA", at positions 527 to 896 of the family's 1533-position model. The record is from RNAcentral.